This 467-nucleotide ribosomal RNA is filed under the name uncultured bacterium. Its description in RNAcentral is "partial 16S ribosomal RNA". It matches the Rfam family "Bacterial small subunit ribosomal RNA", at positions 28 to 507 of the family's 1533-position model. The record is from RNAcentral.
AAUGAACGCUGGCGGCGUGCUUAACACAUGCAAGUCGAACGGAAAGGCUCCUGCUUGCAGGGGUACUCGAGUGGCGAACGGGUGAGUAACACGUGGGUGAUCUGCCCUGCACUUCGGGAUAAGCCUGGGAAACUGGGUCUAAUACCGGAUAGGACCACAUUUUGGAUGGUGUGGUGGAAAGUUUUUCGGUGUGGGAUGAGCUCGCGGCCUAUCAGCUUGUUGGUGGGGUAAUGGCCUACCAAGGCGUCGACGGGUAGCCGGCCUGAGAGGGUGUACGGCCACAUUGGGACUGAGAUACGGCCCAGACUCCUACGGGAGGCAGCAGUGGGGAAUAUUGCACAAUGGGCGCAAGCCUGAUGCAGCGACGCCGCGUGGGGGAUGACGGCCUUCGGGUUGUAAACUCCUUUCGCUAGGGACGAAGCGUUUUUGUGACGGUACCUGGAGAAGAAGCACCGGCUAACUACGUG